AUGUGGGCUCAAAUCCUUCAUAGCAAGUACCUCCAGACAAAAACUUUGUCCCAAGUUACAGUCAGGCCGACAGAUUCACCUUUCUGGAAAGGUCUAAUGAAAGUCAAACAAUCUCUGUUUAAUAGGAUGAAGUUUGUUAUUGGAAACGACACUAGUACACGUUUCUGGGAGGAUACUUGGCUCGGCGAGACACCCUUGGCCAUUCAAUAUCCGUCUUUGUACCGUAUCAUUCAACGACGAGAGGUGUUCGUCGCAUCGGUAUUUCAAUCUAUCUUCUUUAAUAUUCGGUUCCGGUGGACGCUAGCGGGUAAUCGUUGGGAAGAAUGGCUCCGUCUAGUUAGAAGACUGAUGGAGGUCCAGCUUUCUCAACAACCCGAUGAAUUACGCUGGAAAUUGACUAAGUCUGGAGUAUUCACUGUUAAAUCAAUGUAUAUUGAUGUUAUUAAUUCGAACUCCAUUCCUACCUCCAAGCAUGUUUGGGAUGUCAAAGUCCCUUUGAAAAUAAAAGUGUUUAUGUGUUUGUGCAUAAACAAGUUAUUUUAA
This 543-nucleotide ribosomal RNA is filed under the name Triticum aestivum (bread wheat). RNAcentral's name for it is "partial small subunit ribosomal RNA". The record is from RNAcentral. Lineage: Eukaryota; Viridiplantae; Streptophyta; Magnoliopsida; Poales; Poaceae.